RNAcentral lists this unclassified non-coding RNA (2454 nucleotides) under Haliotis rufescens (red abalone). Its description in RNAcentral is "cOMM domain-containing protein 4-like, transcript variant X1". The record is from RNAcentral. Lineage: Eukaryota; Metazoa; Mollusca; Gastropoda; Lepetellida; Haliotidae.
UAUAUACAUACGAGAUUGUCCGUUAUUUAAGGUCUCAAAGAUGGUGGGUGUUGUCUGCUAAGAUUGAUAAAAAUAACUGUCUCUUCCGUCGUCAAGUUAUUUGAAAAGCACAAAUGAGGUUCAGGUUCUGUGGGGAUCUAGACUGCCCAGACUGGGUUCUGGCAGAAAUCAGCAUUCUGUCUAAAAUGACAUCGGUGAAAAUGAAACUUCUAUGUGUCCAAGUUAUCAAGGACAUUCUGGGAGCAGGGUUAGAUUAUGACAAAGUCUACAAGCUGACAUCAGAUGCUAAAUUUGAGAUGGGUGAUGUGAAAGCAAGCAUCGCGGCUCUGACAUUUAUCUUGACGAGUGCGGCCAAAUACAGCGUGGAUGGAGACACCUUGUCGAACGAGCUCCAACAGCUCGGUCUUCCUAAAGAACAUGCCGGCUCUCUCACCAAGUCCUACAGCGACAGUCUAGACAAGUUACAGAUGCGGCUGCAGGAACAGUCUCUCCGCUUGUCCUCCCUGGAGAAUGUCAAGUGGAGGGUGGACUACAUCCUCAGUUCCAGUGAACUGAAGGAUAUCAACGAGCCAAGUGUGCAGAUAAGGCUUGAAAUGAAGAGCCCAGACACACAGUCAACAGAACCCGUGGCCUUCACUGUAUCUGCAGACAAGUUCAGAGUACUCCUUAAUGGUAGGUGAUAUUGUGGGUAAUACGAUGGGGAACCAGAGCCCUGUCCACCUAACCUGUGGCCUUCACUGUAUCUGCAGACAAGUUCAGAGUACUCCUUAAUGGUAGGUGAUAUUGUGGGUAAUACGAUGGGGAACCAGAGCCCUGUCCACCUAACCUGUGGCCUUCACUGUAUCUGCAGACAAGUUCAGAGUGUCCCUUAAUGGUAGGUGAUAUUGUGGGUAAUACGAUGGGGAACCAGUGGCCUUCACUGUAUCUGCAGACAAGUUCAGAGUGUCCCUUAAUGGUAGGUGAUAUUGUGGGUAAUACGAUGGGGAACCAGAGCCCUGUCCACCUAACCUGUGGCCUUCACUGUAUCUGCAGACAAGUUCAGAGUGUCCCUUAAUGGUAGGUGAUAUUGUGGGUAAUACGAUGGGGAACCAGUGGCCUUCACUGUAUCUGCAGACAAGUUCAGAGUACUCCUUAAUGGUAGGUGAUAUUGUGGGUAAUACGAUGGGGAACCUGUGGCCUUCACUGUAUCUGCAGACAAGUUCAGAGUGUCCCUUAAUGGUAGGUGAUAUUGUGGGUAAUACGAUGGGGAACCCGUGGCCUUCACUGUAUCUGCAGACAAGUUCAGAGUGUCCCUUAAUGGUAGGUGAUAUUGUGGGUAAUACGAUGGGGAACCCGUGGCCUUCACUGUAUCUGCAGACAAGUUCAGAGUACUCCUUAAUGAAUUGAAGCAUGCUGAUUCCAUGAUGGAUACCCUGGCAUCAUAGCAUCUUCCUCCCACUGAACUUCUUCCGACUCUAUUGGAACUCGGGCAGUUUUGACAUAAUAUAGGAACUGCUGUUACAGUCGUGUCAUUUGAAACAUGUGCUUAAAAGUCUGUAAGCCAUUGUAAUUGAUGUCAGAGCAGAAACUAAAGGUCUUUUAAGGAAAAUUGUUGACCAAAGAGCAAUCCCAUUGAGGAUUCACUUAGGGCUAGGACAAUCUAAAUUUACUUCCUGGUACACAUCCCCCUAUUACCCGACCCUACCCGGGUACCUGCUGUAGGUCUCAAGAGAUAUGUACAAAAUGUCCGAGAGGCAAUAGUUUGACCAGAGCAAAUAGGCAUAAAACUAUCUGGUCAUGCAUAUCUAAAGUUGACUGAAGCUUUAUCUUUAUACAAAAAUAUAUAAGUCAGAAGGAAUGUGUGAAUAGUCCGAAAGAAAUGUGAACAUUCAUGACCUGUCAUGUGUUCACAGAGGCUGAGAUAAUUUUUGUCUUUAAACAAUAUAUCAAGUUACUAACAAUGGGUCUGGGUAGUCCUGUAGGUACCAAGUCCUACUCUGUACCCCUCGACCCAAGUAACUGGGUUUCCCGUCCCAGCCCUAGAUUCAUUAAUAACGCCUCCCUUCAGGGGACACCAGGGUCCACUUGCACAAAGCUAUCUUAGCGCUAAGAUGAUCGUAACUCCCAUACUUUAACAUAGGCUUACGAUAGUCUUAGCGCUAAGAUGAUCGUAACUCCCAUACUUUAACAUAGGCUUACAAUAGUCUUAGCGCUAAGAUCGCUUUGUGCAUGUGGGCCCAGGUCACAUUCCCAGUACUCCAUGCUUGUUUGUUAGAGACAACUUUAAAGGAAAGGGUUGUUAUACAGUAAGUGAUCUGGCUGACUGUAUAUCAAUAUUAGUCUGCUUGAUCAAAUAUUUGUUAAUCUGGAAACGCUAUAUGAUGUUUCACUGAUCAAAUAAACGUCAUUUGAUAUAUAGGUUUACAUUCCAUGAAACUGUAUUGAGAUGUAUGUAAAUAAAUGUCUUUUGAAUAA